Schistosoma mansoni is the source of this 45-nucleotide non-coding RNA. Lineage: Eukaryota; Metazoa; Platyhelminthes; Trematoda; Strigeidida; Schistosomatidae. The record is from Rfam.
AUCCAACUGACGAGUCCCAAAUAGGACGAAACGCGCGUCCUGGAU